This 546-nucleotide non-coding RNA is filed under the name Macleaya cordata. RNAcentral's name for it is "Eukaryotic small subunit ribosomal RNA". It matches the Rfam family "Eukaryotic small subunit ribosomal RNA", at positions 446 to 979 of the family's 1831-position model. Lineage: Eukaryota; Viridiplantae; Streptophyta; Magnoliopsida; Ranunculales; Papaveraceae. The record is from Rfam by way of RNAcentral.
UACUGGAGAGGGGACCCAAGAAACUGGUACCACAUAACAAUACUGGGAUCAUCGAGUCUAGUAAUUAGGAUGAGUACAAUCUAUACCCGUAAGGAGGAUACAUUAGAGGGCAAGUCUGGUGCCAGCAGCCCUGAUAAUUCCACUCCAAUAGAGUAUGUAAGCUGUUGUAGUUGAAAUGCUCAGUGUUGGACUUUGGAUUGGGUCAUUCUGGGUGUAUCAGUCGCCUUGUCCCUCUUACUGCCGUUGCCGGGAAUGUUCUCCUGGAUUGUCGGUUCGUGCUCUAUCGUUGUUAGCCUUGGAGAACUAAAAGCAAACACUAGUUGUAGAUAUUGCAUGGGACAAUCUCAUUGGACUUUGGUCCUAUUGUGUUGGCCUUUGGGAUCUGAGUACUGAUUACCAAGGAUAGUCAGGGGCACUCAAAGUGAUAGCUAUUUACACGAACAGAGAUAUUCAAGUUACACUAACUAUCAGACUGGAAAGUAUGGAAGAAAUUGGUAGAGCAAUAUCUAAGUUAGAAACAUGGAUCUACUUAAUUUUUGAUCAAUA